This is an RNA transcript of Lolium rigidum, 1185 nucleotides long. RefSeq lists it as uncharacterized. The record is from RefSeq and is a predicted model, not a curated record. The transcript is spliced from 4 exons. NCBI's taxonomy places the organism in Eukaryota, Viridiplantae, Streptophyta, Magnoliopsida, Poales, Poaceae.
GAAGGGGGAGAGGGUGGUGCCACUGCUGCAAGUCUACAACUGCGGUGUCUCCCUUCGUGCAGCGCACGAGGAGGAGAGGGCGCGGAAUAGGGGAACAUCGAUCCGGACGUGGUUCCGAGAUGCACAUUGCAGAACCAGAUAAGCACCGUCGCUUCAGCCUUCAGAGAGGAUUCUCCAACCAGUUGAGCAGCACCUUCAUCGAUCUGUGCGAUUCUACAGUUGAGAUAGAAUUGUUGGUACGUCUCAUUGCCUCCUUCUAUCUCGAAAAUCCUAUACGUUAGAAAUAUCUACUAUUGUUAUAUAUGUUGCCCUGCAUCACUUCUUUUGGUAUUCCAGAUGUCGAAGUUUACUAAGCUAAGCUUUGAGAUGGGAAAGACGGUAUUUGGAAUAACCUCAAUAUUACCUUCUGGUCUAUUGGAUCAAUAUAAUCGACAAGUCUCAGAAAAUAUAUCAUCAACUAUAUGCGAGACAAGGCGAGUGUUGCUGCUCCGUGUUGUAGUUCGAAUAACCUCAUUAGUAUCUUCUGAGCUAUUGGAUCAAUAUCAUCGACGAGAGUCUCUCAGGAAAAAUAUCAUCAUCAAGAGGCAAGGCGAACUGUUGUUGCUCCGUGCUACUCGGUUCUCUGAGGUAUCCACAAAUUGUUGAUGACAAAAUAAUUAGAAAUCGUUGACUGCCGAGAAAAGAGGAGGUGAAUACUACAUAUGAUUGAUUUAGGAUUAAUUAUUAGACAGUAUAUCUAUCGAGCUUGGACAUUAGGUGAUACAUGCCAACUGAUGACCCCUGAAUAUUGUAUAUGAACUGGCGUUUUUUCCAUUUUCGAUAUAAGGUGAUACAUGCCAAGAGUUAGUAUUUGGAAUGCCUGAUAUUUCCUUUAAAUUUGUGGUGUGGUUUCUCGCGAGAUUGGUCAUCUCCUCCAUACGGUAAUCCUACUCCUAAGUGUGUGUUCAGUUGCAUGUUUAUGAUAUAGAAACUAAGUUGGAUCAUAGAAUGAAUAUAUUCAAUAGACAUGAUGAUAAAGAGGAGGAGGCGGCUGACAUGAAUGGGCAGUUGUUGCCAUGGAGUCACCCUUGGCAGAGACAGAGGAGCCGGAUCCUCUUGAAUGUGAAGUUGACAGGGAGGAAUCAGAUCCUGCAACAGUAGAAUCUCUAUAUAUGUGGCUAGGUCAUCAUUUUGCUGUGUAUAAUU